This 253-nucleotide ribosomal RNA is filed under the name uncultured bacterium. Its description in RNAcentral is "partial 16S ribosomal RNA". It matches the Rfam family "Bacterial small subunit ribosomal RNA", at positions 524 to 776 of the family's 1533-position model. The record is from RNAcentral.
AACGUAGGAGACAAACGUUAUCCGGAGUUACUGGGCGUAAAGGGCGCGUAGGCGGCUUGGCAAGUGGAGGGUGAAAUCCCUCGGCUUAACCGAGGAACUGCCCUCCAAACUGCUUGGCUUGAGUCCGGGAGAGGUGAGUGGAAUUCCCAGUGUAGCGGUGAAAUGCGUAGAUAUUGGGAGGAACACCAGUGGCGAAGGCGGCUCACUGGACCGGAACUGACGCUGAGGCGCGAAAGCGUGGGGAGCAAACGGG